UGGGGAAUAUUGCACAAUGGGGGAAACCCUGAUGCAGCGACGCCGCGUGAGCGAAGAAGGCUUCCGAAUCGUAAAGCUCUGUCCUAUGAGAAGAUAAUGACGGUAUCAUAGGAGGAAGCCCCGGCUAAAUACGUGCCAGCAGCCGCGGUAAUACGUAUGGGGCGAGCGUUGUCCGGAAUUAUUGGGCGUAAAGGGUACGUAGGCGGUCUAUUAAGUCAGGUGUGAAAGCGUGAGGCUUAACCUCAUUAAGCACUUGAAACUGAUAGACUUGAGUGAAGGAGAGGAAAGUGGAAUUCCUAGUGUAGCGGUGAAAUGCGUAGAUAUUAGGAGGAAUACCGGUGGCGAAGGCGACUUUCUGGACUUUUACUGACACUCAGGUACGAAAGCGUGGGGGGCAAACAGG
This 403-nucleotide ribosomal RNA is filed under the name Verrucomicrobiota bacterium. RNAcentral describes it as "Verrucomicrobia bacterium partial 16S ribosomal RNA". It matches the Rfam family "Bacterial small subunit ribosomal RNA", at positions 355 to 776 of the family's 1533-position model. Lineage: Bacteria; Pseudomonadati; Verrucomicrobiota. The record is from RNAcentral.